Long non-coding RNA from Siniperca chuatsi (mandarin fish), 3074 nucleotides. RefSeq lists it as uncharacterized. The record is from RefSeq and is a predicted model, not a curated record. Lineage: Eukaryota; Metazoa; Chordata; Actinopteri; Centrarchiformes; Sinipercidae. The transcript is spliced from 2 exons.
GGAGGACUUGACCGCUGGAAAAUGGGAGCGUCCCUCCAGUGGAGGGAAGUCCUGCGUUUCCAGGAUGUCAAACCUGUUUGCCAGUGGGAGUGAAGGAGGGGGAGGUGGGCGCUUUGCACCAUGUCAGUGCUCCAGUUGACGUGGACUCGAACCCACUGGAGACUUCUCACCACCCCCACCGACGAGUGACCGUGCCUCCACUGGGACUUGGCAAGGAGUAGAAAAGGCCAUUGCUUUGGGCUUUGCACCCAUGAGGAUCGACUGAUCUUCAGGCUUAGCUGAAACAACUUCAUGCCCCGGAGCGCCUGUGAUGAUGGAGCCAAGCCACGAAGGAGUGGGAUCAUAAGCUAGACUCCCUCAAGCUUAAAAUCCUCAAUAAAAGCGACCGGCUAGCCUAGCCGCCAGGCUAAAAACAAACCGAGAUGAGCUAGCAGCAGUGGAGGUAUUCCGGUAAACCACGUCGAGUUGACAGCCAACUUAAAAUAACCUUUGAUCCACACGUCCGAUGACUAAAAACUUUUACAAAUAGCCGGGAUAAAAGUGUAGCAUGAAAAGUGGCUCAUAAACGGGAUAAAAUGUCAAAUUCUGACGGUUUAAGUCGUUGCCUCUGGCGGGCACACACAAUGCCGACGCAUGCGUACAUGAACUAUUAGAGUAAACUACAAAGCCUGAGAAGAAUUUAUUGUAUUGAACAUUUGGCAUUGAACGCCAAAAAGAGUACGAUCUAUUCUUGGUUGGAGAGCCAUGUUUGAGAAGUUGUCGCAUGGCGUUAAUAACACCCUGGAUACUGAGAUGUCCCAAAGCCUGACCAUGAGGAGGAGGAGGAGGAGACUCACAUCCUUAUUGUGCAGCGCUUCCUGCUUUACACCUACAGAUCUUUGAUCGACGUGCUGAACCAACGGUACUUUAUUUCCAUCCCAUGUGAUGAAUGCAAAAAGAGGAGGUGCUCUAGGAACUACACGGUGCCUGACCCCCCCGGCCUGUUGGAUGGCCACGUCCGGCCCAUGUAUUUGAAGUACAAGAACUUCUACAAAUCUACAUUUCAGUGACAACUGGGCAACUCCAUCUGCUGAGGAAGAUCAUGUGAUAGGAUUGAAAGCUUCACAACAGUUAGUGGAUGGAAGUUGUGCAGAUUGUUUUGGUGUUUCCAUGGUCAAGAAUGAACUCUAAUCUCAGUGUAUUUGUUGGGUUUUUGAGUUGCAUGUAGGGGAAAAUGUGUUAUUGCAUUGCUUUAUAUAUCUACAGUUAGUUAUUUAUGUAGAUCUCGUCAUAUUAAGUAGGUCACUUAUGUCUUUUGCCUUUUUAUCAUUCCAGUUGAUUUUGAGCUUUUCUUUAGAUAACAUAAUUCUACAUAAUUAAAGCAAUAUUUUGUGUGAUUUGAGGGAUGUACAGGUUUUGUUUGGGCUUUUUUUAUAGCAAAUAUUUCUGAUGAUGAUCUAUGUCUUUGUAUUUUCUUUUCACCAGAAAUUGUUGUGAUAACUGUGAUCCAGUAUGAAGCUGAGGUCAAAGCCGAUGAUUAAAAUUGAUAAGAACAUGAGAUUAUAAUGAGAUAUGAAAGGAUGGUGAGAAAAUGUAAUGUUGAAAGUAAUUUGGUUUCCAUCAAGAUCAUUUUUUUGUCAUUAAACUUGUUUUGAUACAUAUUCACUGGUGGUUAAAACAAUAAUGGUGAAAUGUUCAAACCGCUUAAUGAAUUUGUCUGUGUACAGCAUGUGUCUGUGUGUGUGUGUGUGUGUGUGUGUGUGUGUGUGUGUGUGUGUGUGUGUGUGUGUCUCAGUAAGUCUAUCAGUCUCUGAUACACUUCACUGAGCACGGUGAGGAUCAUGUUUUUUUACUUCUCCAGUGACAGUGUUUAGCUGUGGUCUCCUAAAGCAGGUAGGAGCUGCUGUGAACAGAUGAAACUCUCUCUCCUCAGCACCACUGUUACUGCUUUGUGUGACAAAGUGAAUGUGAGAGAAAGUAAACGCAGCUGCUUUGGGUUUUUCUCAUGACAAUAAUGGUCACCACUGCCAUCUAAUGUUGUGGCUGUGCUAAAACAGGCAACAGGUAGAGGUUACACAGAACUGACAAUCAAUCACCUGCUGUGCUGAUACGUGAUCUGAUCUCCUCAGUGCAUAACUUCAUGUCACAUUUCCGAUGUUUUAAAAUCUAAAAAUUAUUGUUUUCAUUUUGAGUUUUUAAAGUUUUAACUGUAACCAUCAGGCCACAAGGCUGCUUGUCACACGCGGUCACAAGCAAUACUGGCACACCCUAAGGAACUGUACUGUCACCGUUUUUGUUCCCCACAUCUGACUUCUGCUUCGACUCGGGAACGUGCCACUUAUAGAAGUUCUUGGAUGACUCCUCCAUUGUCGGCUGUAUCACAGAUGAUAAGGAGGAGUAGUACAGAGUCAUAGGAUGGUGCGACAGCAACCACCUACAGCUCAACAUCGGGAAAACCAAGGAGCUGCUGGUGGAUUUUCAGCGCAGCAGGAGGCCCCCCACCCCUGUCGCCAUAAGGGGGAAGGGGUGGAGAUGGUGGACACCUACAAGUUCCUAGGGGUGCAACUCAGCAACAAACUGGACUGGUCAGACAACACUGAGGCUCUCUACAGGAAAGGACAGAGCAGGCUGUUCUUUCUGAGGAGGCUCAGGUCCUUCAAUGUGUGCACUAGGCUGCUACGACGUUCUACCAGUCUGUAGUGGCCAGUGUUCUCUUCUUUGCUGAGGUGGCAUGGGGACUUGUGGUGCCAACAAAGUGGGCAAGCUGGUGAGGAAGGCCAGCUCCGUGGUGGGGAUGGAACUGGACAAUGUGGAGGCAGUGACAGAGAGGAGGAUGAGAGGGAAGUUGAAAGCUAUCAUGGACAACCCCUCUCAUCCUCUCUAUGCCGAGCUGAGCCGGCUCAGGAGCACGUUCAACCACAGACUCAUCCAGCCCCAUAAGCCUCAAAGCGCAUGUAUAUACAAACAGUUGCUGUAUGAGUGUAUGUACUGUAUGUAUAUUUUAGAAAUUUAGAAUUUUUUUCUACAUUCCCUUGUGCUGCUGUGUCAAAUUGAAUUUCCCCUACAGGGGAUCAAUAAAGGUACAUCUUAUCUUA